Molecule: non-coding RNA, 73 nt
Organism: Daldinia grandis
Lineage: Eukaryota; Fungi; Ascomycota; Sordariomycetes; Xylariales; Hypoxylaceae
Source: the annotation of a GenBank genome assembly
GGAGUCUUAGCUCAGUGGUACGAGCGAAGGAUUGCAGAUCCUUAGGUCGCCGGUUCGAUCCCGGCAGGCUCCU